RNAcentral lists this ribosomal RNA (715 nucleotides) under Porticoccus sp. RNAcentral's name for it is "bacterial SSU rRNA". It matches the Rfam family "Bacterial small subunit ribosomal RNA", at positions 33 to 744 of the family's 1533-position model. The record is from RNAcentral. Lineage: Bacteria; Pseudomonadati; Pseudomonadota; Gammaproteobacteria; Cellvibrionales; Porticoccaceae.
ACGCUGGCGGCAGGCCUAACACAUGCAAGUCGAGCGUGAAAGUUCCUUCGGGAGCGAGUAGAGCGGCGGACGGGUGAGUAACGCGUAGGAAUCUGCCCAGUAGUGGGGGACAACAUGGGGAAACUCAUGCUAAUACCGCAUACGCCCUAAGGGGGAAAGCAGGGGAUCUUCGGACCUUGCGCUAUUGGAUGAGCCUGCGUCGGAUUAGCUAGUUGGUGGGGUAAUGGCCUACCAAGGCGACGAUCCGUAGCUGGUCUGAGAGGAUGAUCAGCCACACUGGGACUGAGACACGGCCCAGACUCCUACGGGAGGCAGCAGUGGGGAAUAUUGGACAAUGGGGGAAACCCUGAUCCAGCCAUGCCGCGUGUGUGAAGAAGGCCUUCGGGUUGUAAAGCACUUUCAAUAGGGAGGAAAAGUUAAUGGCUAAUACCCAUUAACCCUGACGUUACCUAUAGAAGAAGCACCGGCAAACUCCGUGCCAGCAGCCGCGGUAAUACGGAGGGUGCGAGCGUUAAUCGGAAUUACUGGGCGUAAAGCGCGCGUAGGCGGUUUGAUUAGCUGGAUGUGAAAGCCCCGGGCUUAACCUGGGAAUUGCAUCCAGAACUGUCAGGCUAGAGUACAGUAGAGGUGAGUGGAAUUUCCUGUGUAGCGGUGAAAUGCGUAGAUAUAGGAAGGAACAUCAGUGGCGAAGGCGGCUCACUGGACUGAUACUGAC